This 393-nucleotide ribosomal RNA is filed under the name uncultured bacterium. Its description in RNAcentral is "bacterial SSU rRNA". It matches the Rfam family "Bacterial small subunit ribosomal RNA", at positions 505 to 898 of the family's 1533-position model. The record is from RNAcentral.
GUGUCAGCAGCCGCGGUAAUACGUAGGGUGCAAGCGUUAAUCGGAAUUACUGGGCGUAAAGCGUACGCAGGCGGCUUUGCAAGACAGGUGUGAAAUCCCCGGGCCUAACCUGGGAACUGCAUUUGUGACUGCAUAGCUAGAGUCUGUCAGAGGGGGGUGGAAUUCCACGUGUAGCAGUGAAAUGCGUAGAGAUGUGGAAGAACACCGAUGGCGAAGGCAGCCCCCUGGGAUGAGACUGACGCUCAUGUACGAAAGCGUGGGGAGCAAACAGGAUUAGAUACCCUGGUAGUCCACGCCCUAAACGAUGUCUACUAGUUGUCGGAGGGUAACUCCUUCGGUAACGCAGCUAACGCGUGAAGUAGACCGCCUGGGGAGUACGGUCGCAAGAUUAAA